Molecule: small nucleolar RNA, 138 nt
Organism: Tachyglossus aculeatus (Australian echidna)
Lineage: Eukaryota; Metazoa; Chordata; Mammalia; Monotremata; Tachyglossidae
Source: RefSeq, a predicted model, not a curated record
CACCUGUCAGGGUUGCAUCUGGAGAGUUUCCAGUACUCUACCGGUCUCGGCUAUGGGAGGAAGAGUCAAGAAGAGGCCUACCCACUCCAUUCCUAGCUUGGGCAGUGGCUAGCGAGUGGAAGACAAUCUUCUCCAAGU